Molecule: long non-coding RNA, 237 nt
Organism: Mercenaria mercenaria
Lineage: Eukaryota; Metazoa; Mollusca; Bivalvia; Venerida; Veneridae
Exons: 3
Source: RefSeq, a predicted model, not a curated record
UUCUGGCGUCCACCUUUAUCCAAACAUUUCGGGUUUGAUGAAAAUAAGGAUGCCGUUAAAGAAUUUAAAUAUACUAAUAUGAGAGGGAAAAAAUCUUCGGUAUUCCUGUUAGAAGGUAUAUAUAUGGAACCAAAAAAGCUGCCGUACUCGGACAGAGGGGGUCUGGCUCUCCUUAAAAAUACGAAGGUUUUACAGCUAGAUUCUGUCCCAAAAAAAAAGUUGUAUUGGACAAUGGAC